Molecule: ribosomal RNA, 253 nt
Filed under: uncultured bacterium
Lineage: Bacteria
Description: partial 16S ribosomal RNA
Rfam family: Bacterial small subunit ribosomal RNA
Source: RNAcentral
UACGUAGGGUGCAAGCGUUAAUCGGAAUUACUGGGCGUAAAGCGUACGCAGGCGGCUUUGCAAGACAGGUGUGAAAUCCCCGGGCCUAACCUGGGAACUGCAUUUGUGACUGCAUGGCUAGAGUUUGUCAGAGGGGGGUGGAAUUCCACGUGUAGCAGUGAAAUGCGUAGAUAUCUGGAGGAACAUCAGUGGCGAAGGCGACACCCUGGACUCAUACUGACACUGAGGUGCGAAAGCGUGGGGAGCAAACAGG